RNAcentral lists this unclassified non-coding RNA (226 nucleotides) under uncultured fungus. RNAcentral describes it as "sequence contains ITS1, 5.8S rRNA gene". The stretch from base 178 to 226 matches the Rfam family "5.8S ribosomal RNA", at positions 1 to 49 of the family's 154-position model. Lineage: Eukaryota; Fungi. The record is from RNAcentral.
UCUCCGUAGGUGAACCUGCGGAGGGAUCAUUACCAGAGAUGGCGGGCCCCCGCGCCCCCGUCCCCAACCCUAUGUUGACUUAAACCUUUUGCCUCGGGGGCAGAGCGGCCGCCGCCGCCCCCGGAGGACCACCAAACUCUGUCUCUGUACGUCGGAGUCUUAAUGCAAAUAAAUAAAAACUUUCAACAACGGAUCUCUUGGUUCUGGCAUCGAUGAAGAACGCAGC